UACAGAGGUCUCAACCGUUGUUCGGAUUCAUUGGGCGUAAAGGGUGCGUAGGCGGUCGUGCAAGUCGGAUGUGAAAUCUCAGGGCUCAACCCUGAAACUGCAUUCGAUACUGCGCGGCUAGAGUGCUGGAGGGGAGACUGGAAUUUACGGUGUAGCAGUGAAAUGCGUAGAUAUCAGGAGGAACACCGGUGGCGAAGGCGGGUCUCUGGGCAGUAACUGACGCUGAGAAGCGAAAGCGUGGGGAGCGAACAGG
This 253-nucleotide ribosomal RNA is filed under the name uncultured bacterium. Its description in RNAcentral is "partial 16S ribosomal RNA". It matches the Rfam family "Bacterial small subunit ribosomal RNA", at positions 524 to 776 of the family's 1533-position model. The record is from RNAcentral.